RNAcentral lists this ribosomal RNA (433 nucleotides) under uncultured bacterium. Its description in RNAcentral is "partial 16S ribosomal RNA". It matches the Rfam family "Bacterial small subunit ribosomal RNA", at positions 29 to 506 of the family's 1533-position model. The record is from RNAcentral.
AGCGAACGCUGGCGGCAGGCCUAACACAUGCAAGUCGAACGAACCUUUCGGGGUUAGUGGCGGACGGGUGAGUAACACAUGGGAACGUGCCUUUAGGUUCGGAAUAACUCAGGGAAACUUGUGCUAAUACCGAAUGUGCCCUUCGGGGGAAAGAUUAAUCGCCUUUAGAGCGGCCCGCGUCUGAUUAGCUAGUUGGUUGAGGUAAUGGCUCACCAAGGCGACGAUCAGUAGCUGGUCUGAGAGGAUGAUCAGCCACAUUGGGACUGAGACACGGCCCAAACUCCUACGGGAGGCAGCAGUGGGGAAUCUUGCGCAAUGGGCGAAAGCCUGACGCAGCCAUGCCGCGUGAAUGAUGAAGGUCUUAGGAUUGUAAAAUUCUUUCACCGGGGACGAUAAUGACGGUACCCGGAGAAGAAGCCCCGGCUAACUUCGU